Molecule: unclassified non-coding RNA, 552 nt
Filed under: Hevea brasiliensis (rubber tree)
Lineage: Eukaryota; Viridiplantae; Streptophyta; Magnoliopsida; Malpighiales; Euphorbiaceae
Source: RNAcentral
GGCUUUUUUUUUUUCUACACGUCUUGAUCUUUUAGUAUUUAUAUCAGGUGCCUCAGAGUCACGUUUCAGAGUCCCAAGAGCCUUAGAAGUCUUUUUAGAUGAGUGGAAGAGAAUUAGAGUCAAAAUAGAAAUCUAUCUACUGUAAAGUACACAACCUGUGUGGCACUACAUGGCCUUGGGUCGCAUAAUUUUUUGGACUAAUUUCGAGCUUCAUUCAUGAGGAGGCAACAAGUUACACGGGGGUAGGGAGUUCACAUGGGUCCAUGAACACGGCCCGUGUACUGUCAUCUCUCCUUGGCUCUCCAAGUUUUAGCUUCCAAAUGAUUACACUAGGGUAUGUGAGGUACACGGGGUCUGUUACACCACCCAUGUACUGUGGCUUCUCCAUGUCUUCUUCAUUUUCUCUUGACCAGGGGGUUACAUGGGUCAGACUUUGUCCUUACAGGACCCGUGUAGUCUUAUGCAACAACUCUUCUUGCUUUUCCUACUUUCUAAACUUGUCCAAUCGACUUCCAUGCAUUGGUUCUACCUUAAAACACCUGAAAAGAUACA